This 411-nucleotide ribosomal RNA is filed under the name Haptophyta environmental samples. RNAcentral's name for it is "SSU rRNA". It matches the Rfam family "Eukaryotic small subunit ribosomal RNA", at positions 468 to 885 of the family's 1831-position model. The record is from RNAcentral. Lineage: Eukaryota; Haptophyta.
UGACAAGAAAUAACAAUACAGGGCUAUUUUAGUCUUGUAAUUGGAAUGAGUACAAUUUACAUCUCUUCACGAGGAUCAAUUGGAGGGCAAGUCUGGUGCCAGCAGCCGCGGUAAUUCCAGCUCCAAUAGCGUAUAUUAAAGUUGUUGCAGUUAAAACGCUCGUAGUCGGAUUUCGGGGCGGGCCCGCCGGUCUGCCGAUGGGUAUGCACUGGCGGGCGCGUCCUUCCUCCCGGAGACGGCUGCUACUCUUAACUGAGCGGUGGUCGGAGACGGGAUAUUUACUUUGAAAAAAUCAGAGUGUUUCAAGCAGGCAGUCGCUCUUGCAUGGAUUAGCAUGGGAUAAUGAAAUAGGACUCUGGUGCUAUUUUGUUGGUUUCGAGCACCGGAGUAAUGAUUAACAGGGACAGUCAG